Molecule: transfer RNA, 93 nt
Filed under: Clostridiales bacterium
Lineage: Bacteria; Bacillati; Bacillota; Clostridia; Eubacteriales
Description: tRNA-Ser
Rfam family: tRNA
About the family: Transfer RNA (tRNA) molecules are approximately 80 nucleotides in length. Their secondary structure includes four short double-helical elements and three loops (D, anti-codon, and T loops).
Source: RNAcentral
GGAGAAGUAUCGAAGUGGUCAUAACGGGGCUGACUCGAAAUCAGUUGACGGUUUCAGGAUCGUCCGUGGGUUCGAAUCCCACCUUCUCCGCCA